Molecule: ribozyme, 80 nt
Filed under: Crocodylus porosus (Australian saltwater crocodile)
Lineage: Eukaryota; Metazoa; Chordata; Crocodylia; Crocodylidae
Description: Mammalian CPEB3 ribozyme (ENSCPRG00005013292.1)
Rfam family: Mammalian CPEB3 ribozyme (bases 16-80)
About the family: The mammalian CPEB3 ribozyme is a self cleaving RNA located in the second intron of the CPEB3 gene which belongs to a family of genes regulating messenger RNA polyadenylation. This ribozyme is highly conserved and found only in mammals.
Source: Rfam by way of RNAcentral
AAAGGUCACACGUUUGAGGCUGCAGCAGAAGCGCUCAUGGUGUGGCCCUGUCAGAUUCCAACAAAGCUGCGAAUUCUGCU